GCCGGGGUGGCGGAAUUGGCAGACGCGUAGGUCUCAAAAACCUAUGACAUUUUUGUCGUGAGGGUUCGAUCCCCUCCCCUGGCA
Molecule: transfer RNA, 84 nt
Filed under: Candidatus Roizmanbacteria bacterium RIFCSPLOWO2_01_FULL_38_11
Lineage: Bacteria; Candidatus Roizmaniibacteriota
Description: tRNA-Leu
Rfam family: tRNA
About the family: Transfer RNA (tRNA) molecules are approximately 80 nucleotides in length.
Source: RNAcentral